This 449-nucleotide ribosomal RNA is filed under the name uncultured bacterium. RNAcentral's name for it is "bacterial SSU rRNA". It matches the Rfam family "Bacterial small subunit ribosomal RNA", at positions 28 to 478 of the family's 1533-position model. The record is from RNAcentral.
GAUGAACGCUGGCGGCGUGCUUAACACAUGCAAGUCGAACGGGAAUUACUUUAUUGAAACUUCGGUCGAUUUAAUUUAAUUCUAGUGGCGGACGGGUGAGUAACGCGUGGGUAACCUGCCUUGUACAGGGGGAUAACAGUCAGAAAUGACUGCUAAUGCCGCAUAAGCGCACAGGACCGCAUGGUCCGGUGUGAAAAACUCCGGUGGUAUAAGAUGGACCCGCGUUGGAUUAGCUAGUUGGCAGGGUAACGGCCUACCAAGGCGACGAUCCAUAGCCGGCCUGAGAGGGUGAACGGCCACAUUGGGACUGAGACACGGCCCAGACUCCUACGGGAGGCAGCAGUGGGGAAUAUUGCACAAUGGGGGAAACCCUGAUGCAGCGACGCCGCGUGAAGGAAGAAGUAUCUCGGUAUGUAAACUUCUAUCAGCAGGGAAGAAAAUGACGGUAC